AUGCAAGUCGAGCGGCAGCGCGGGGGCAACCCUGGCGGCGAGCGGCGAACGGGUGAGUAAUGCAUCGGAACGUGUCCGGGAGUGGGGGAUAACCCGCCGAAAGGCGGGCUAAUACCGCAUAUGCUCUUUGGAGGAAAGGGGGGGACCGCAAGGCCUCCCGCUUUCGGAGCGGCCGAUGUCCGAUUAGCUAGUUGGUGGGGUAAUGGCUUACCAAGGCGACGAUCGGUAGCUGGUCUGAGAGGAUGAUCAGCCACACUGGGACUGAGACACGGCCCAGACUCCUACGGGAGGCAGCAGUGGGGAAUUUUGGACAAUGGGGGCAACCCUGAUCCAGCCAUGCCGCGUGCGGGAAGAAGGCCUUCGGGUUGUAAACCGCUUUUAGCCGGGAAGAAAAGGCGUCCACUAACACUGGGCGUUCUUGACGGUACCGGCGGAAUAAGCACCGGCUAACUACGUGCCAGCAGCCGCGGUAAUACGUAGGGUGCGAGCGUUAAUCGGAAUUACUGGGCGUAAAGCGUGCGCAGGCGGUUCGUUAAGUUUGCGGUGAAAGCCCCGGGCUCAACCUGGGAAUGGCCGUGGAAACUGGCGGGCUGGAGUGCGGCAGAGGGGGGUGGAAUUCCACGUGUAGCAGUGAAAUGCGUAGAAAUGUGGAGGAACACCGAUGGCGAAGGCAGCCCCCUGGCCAAUACUGACGCUCAUGCACGAAAGCGUGGGGAGCAAACAGGAUUAGAUACCCUGGUAGUCCACGCCCUAAACGAUGUCAACUAGGUGUUGGGUGGGUUAAACCAUUUAGUACCGUAGCUAACGCGUGAAGUUGACCGCCUGGGGAGUACGGCCGCAAGGUUAAAACUCAAAGGAAUUGACGGGGACCCGCACAAGCGGUGGAUGAUGUGGAUUAAUUCGAUGCAACGCGAAAAACCUUACCUACCCCUU
RNAcentral lists this ribosomal RNA (933 nucleotides) under uncultured beta proteobacterium. RNAcentral describes it as "bacterial SSU rRNA". It matches the Rfam family "Bacterial small subunit ribosomal RNA", at positions 55 to 983 of the family's 1533-position model. The record is from RNAcentral. Lineage: Bacteria; Pseudomonadati; Pseudomonadota; Betaproteobacteria.